CAGAAUUCGCCUUAGAGUUUGAUCCUGGCUCAGGAUGAACGCUGGCGGUAUGCUUUACACAUGCAAGUCGUACGAGAGUUUUUAACUCAAGUGGCGGACGGGUGAGUAACACGUAAGAAUUUGCCUUUAGGAGGGGGAUAACAACUGGAAACGGUUGCUAAUACCCCAUAUGCUUUCGAGUAAAAUGGAUUUUCCGCCUAAAGAGAAGCUUGCGGCUGAUUAGCUUGUUGGUGAGGUAAUGGCUCACCAAGGCGACGAUCAGUAUCUGGUUUGAGAGGACGAUCAGACACACUGGAACUGAGACACGGUCCAGACUCCUACGGGAGGCAGCAGUGGGGAAUUUUCCGCAAUGGGCGAAAGCCUGACGGAGCAAUACCGCGUGAGGGAUGACGGCCUAUGGGUUGUAAACCUCUUUUUUCAGGGAGGAAUCAAUGACGUGUACCUGAAGAAUAAGCAUCGGCUAACUCCGUGCCAGCAGCCGCGGUAAGACGGAGGAUGCAAGUGUUAUCCGGAAUCACUGGGCGUAAAGCGUCUGUAGGUGGUCAAAUAAGUCAACUGUUAAAUCUUGAGGCUCAACCUCAAAAUCGCAGUCGAAACUAUUCGACUAGAGUAUAGUAGGGGUAAAGGGAAUUUCCAGUGGAGCGGUGAAAUGCGUAGAGAUUGGAAAGAACACCGAUGGCGAAGGCACUUUACUGGGCUAUUACUAACACUGAGAGACGAAAGCUAGGGUAGCAAAUGGGAUUAGAUACCCCAGUAGUCCUAGCCGUAAACAAUGGAUACUAGAUGUUGAACAGAUCGACCUGUGCAGUAUCAAAGCUAACGCGUUAAGUAUCCCGCCUGGGAAGUAUGCUCGCAAGAGUGAAACUCAAAUGAAUUGACGGGGAAGGGC
Molecule: ribosomal RNA, 889 nt
Filed under: uncultured bacterium
Lineage: Bacteria
Description: bacterial SSU rRNA
Rfam family: Bacterial small subunit ribosomal RNA
Source: RNAcentral